Chelonia mydas (Green sea turtle) is the source of this 4046-nucleotide long non-coding RNA. RefSeq lists it as uncharacterized. The record is from RefSeq and is a predicted model, not a curated record. Lineage: Eukaryota; Metazoa; Chordata; Testudines; Cheloniidae. The transcript has 3 exons.
GCAUGUAGUUGUGCUGGCGCUGGAGCAGAAGGUUGAACUGUGGCUCAGAGACAGGGUCAGACUAUCACUUUACCUCCGCCUCUGUGCCUGCUAAAAUGAGCUAGUCAGUGCACUGGGGAUAUAAAGUCAAGACUCCACCCGUUCCCUAUGCUUGCCCACCCAUUCCCUAUGUGCACAGGAAAGGGACAAGCAGCCUGUGACAGAGCUGCUGGAGGCCAGUCUGCCUGAGACUGAAGGAAUUGUCUGACUGAAGGAAGAACAACGCAACUUUGUAUGAUCAGCUGGAGUGGUGCUUCUAAAGCUAGAUGUUGUGGAAAUUUGGAUGUUGAAGGACUGAGUUUCUCUGAGUCCAGAAAAUCUUUCACAUGCAACAUGACACCACAAACCAGACAAACUCAGCAACAUGGAAGCCAUUCCAUCCAUGCACAAAGACAUUCUAUGUUUCAAAUGUAUAUGGACUAGCCUUCAAAAUCCACUUGUAAUUAGUUGAGCAAGUCUAUCAAAGGUUCAAGACUCAUCUCUGUUUCUCAUUUUGAUGCGGGCUCAAGAAAGCAACACUUGAAGACUUAAACGUCAGACACAAAGCAAACUAGUGCAGGCUCAAGGUCUGGAAUUUUGCUUCAAGUUCUUCUCUUAAAAUGGUAAAGCUGAAUGGACUGUUACCAAAGAAACUGAAAGGAAGCUACUCAAGGAGAAGCUGAGGCAAGAGGAGGAAAGGGGGAGAACAGAUAACAAAAUUAAUUCUCUUCUAAGCGCAGAAUUAGAGGAGCUGAAGCAACCCUUGCAGAAUGCAAUAAGCAGAGAAAGCCAUGCUUGAGAAAGUAAAGAGAUUCUGAGUGAUGGCGUCCACCCAAGAAUUCUACAAGUACUGCAUAAGCAAAUCCAGAUAAAGACAUUUUUGAACAGCUACUCGACACACAAUUAACAGAAGGAACUGAACUAGAGAAAGCGCACAUACAAUCCCAGAACAGAUGGAUUAUAAAUCUCUGAAACAGAAGGCCCCGCCUACAGAAGUUCCUAUCCAUCUUUAGAGAACUAGAGACAACAAAAUAACUAUAGCAACAUUUUAACGAUAGGGGGGUGUGCAUGUGUUUUCACUCACCUUCAGCAGAUUGUAAGUCACAAGACCAGCGGUCAGGGGCCUUAUUCUCCUUGGGCUUGAACCUGCAAGGUGCUGAGCUCUUUGGCUUUGAUCCAGCAAAGCACUUAAAACAUACACAUCCUAUUUUUAAUUGCAGCAGCUCAGCUAAAGAAACCAUUCAUCAUGCUCCAUAGAGCCCAAGCAGCUCCAUGAGUUCAGCAGGAGUUGAGAGUUCUCAGGAUCAUGAAGGAUUGGGCUUUGAAAGAAGGAGUGGAAACAGGCUGUUUGUCCCCCAUCAGGACCAAGAAGUUGACUGGAAGUUUAAAGAGGCUGGAUCUUCACUAGAAAGAAGGAUGGUUAGGAGUCUAAAAGGGUGGAGAUGCAGAUUUGCAUGGGGAUGGAGGCAUAUCCAUAUGCCUGGGUUUACACUAUCUAGCAUGUUUUGUGGUAGAAUAGCACAUAUUUGGAUGGCAAGGAGGAGUUGAAGCAGAUAAGACACUACUGUAGACGCAGAAGUUGAGGAACCAAUAUGACAGGCUGGGGUUUCCAGGGCUAUAUAGCAUUUGCAUAGACAUCUUGUGAUGGGGGCAGAAACAGCAGGCAGUAGGACCCCUAUAAACUUAGUACAUGGACCAGAUCUCAGGGCCAGAUCUUCCAGUGCUCAGCGUCCUCAUCUGGAGGCAGAUUUUCAAAAGAGCUGACCAGUCAACAUGACGACUAGUUCUUCUGAAAAUCUGGCCCAAAGUACCCAAACUACCAUUAUGCCUGUCCCUCAGGAGGUUCUGCUCAUGAUGGUGCCUUCCCCAAGUGAUUUAAACUACAAGCAUUUAGAGACCUCUCCCGCAUAAUCCAAAGUUUUACUAUCAGAAAACUGAAUACUGAUCAUAAUUACUCUGGCUCCAUAUGGCAGUCCCAGCUAGGACACGGCUAGAAUUCUCCCCCAUAGGGACUUUCAACCAACUGCCAAUAAUUUCCCAGACUCCCAUUACAAAUAAAUAAAUAAAGCAGGAGAAAAAUGAAAAUGAAGAGGAUACUUGAAAUUGCAGAACUGAAUUCAGGACAUAUUUUAAAAAAGCACUGAGGAGAGCAUAGUCUGGCCAGUGACACUUCCCUGUCCUAUCCAUCAUUGAGCCGAGAACAGUAAUUCCUUGUUUGCAGCCUUCUCUGUUAGAGGCUAAAUGUGAUUGCAACUGAAGUACAUUGAUUAACCCAAAAUAACUUUCCCUCAAUUUGCUGGCUGCACAGGAAGACUCAGGAGACCUGCUUUUGUUCUGAGCUAGUCAUUCAGGAGCCCUGGCUCCAGUCCUUAUGUAUCUAUUGAAACUGAGUGAACCAGAAAAACCCUAGAAACUACACAAGGACACAUAGUGCUGUUUAGUUAGUUUAAAGCGAGGAUUUUUUUUCUGCAUCACUUCUGCAAUAUUUUUAAUGGUCUAGUUAAAAUAAUUUCAUGGUUGCAGUUUUUGUUCCUGUGCUUAGCAAAGCAAACUGUAGGGGUUACAGCUGAGAGAGGCAUGGGGGAAGGGAGGGGACAAUCUCUCCCUCGGCACAAAAAAAGUGCAGCAUUUUAUCAUGCUGCUUACAAAAUGAUGUGUUUAAAGGGCAGAAUUGUCAAUGUCAGAUGCGAGGCUGAGGUACCUAUUAAUAAACAGCCUCCGCAUCAGAAAUUCUUUGUAGACUUUAAUCAGGAAUUUUCCAUAGUAACGCCGUGUGCCUACGGUUAGCUCAGCAACCGUGGUUUAAAUUCCACCCCAUGGACUUUGAGUUCAUCUUUGCAAGCAGAAGAACGCAUAUAAGAUCACGUGAACACAAUUCUCUUCACUGGAAGUUAAAAUGUUAUGUCUUUCUGUUUCUCUCUGUCUCUUCUAUUUCUUCCAGUAUAUUUUAAAUAGAUGUUGGCUGGAGAGGUGGGAUUCAGGUCCAGAUUAAUUAUAGGAUGGGGUUUGGAGUUCACUUUGAAACCAAAUCUGGGCUGUGAUUCAGGUUCAGAUUUGUUGGUGUCAAAAUCUAAAAAGCUGUUCUUGAAGUAGUCUCACAAGAUGAUGGUAUAGCUGGUCUUGUGAGACUUCCAAUAUCUCGUGCCAAACUCUCACUAAAAUUUCUUUUCUUGCAAGAUCUCAGCCAUGUUUGAACCAGAUCCAGGAAAUAGGCCCCUUCUGAUUUGGGAUCUGGCCCAGAACUGAAAAUGUGGGGGAAGACUCAGAUCCCAGGAUUUCAACCUUAAAUAUGCCCUCUUGUUCCCAAAUUGGGAGAGGUCAAUAUCCAAGGCCCAGUUCUGUCCCAUCUCCAAAUUUAACCACACAGCCAUUGCACAACAAAAGAUACUCAAAUAUUAGAGGUGGAACAGCUGUAAGUCCAAGCCUGCUUGGGAUAAAAAAAUCAGCAUCAGCUCUUCUGUUAGUGUCUUCCCACCCUCUCCAGAUCCGUUUUGGUUUCCUCAGGUUAGUUUCAUAACACAGCCAUUUGGAAUGUCAGAGGUGUCAUGUAAAUGCCUUCUACUCUUUUGAGUGUAGAAACCCUCCCACGUGUCACUGCUAAGGGUUCUAAGAAGGUCUUAGUAUGACUAGAAAAGAACAACACAACAAUUCAGCCUCCUUUAUUCUCAGAACUUUCACCCAACAACAGGGAUUGUAAUCCAAGGCUCUGACCCUGCAACUGACAGUGAAUGGGCAGACUGUUGCACCUGCACAGAGCCCCAUAGACUCUAGUAUGGUUCUGUGUGGACCCAGCAGACAUCCCACCUGCUGCCAAUUGCAGGUGAAGGGUCCAAACAUCAGCCUGCUCCAGGGCCAUCUAUCUGACUCCCAAGACAACCCACACUACCACAAAGCUAACCUGAGCAUUCUUAAACAUACCUGUUCCUCAGAUACAUACAUAUACCUUUGCAGAAAACUAGUUAGGAUAUAUAUGGUACAUUGCAUGUAUGGCACAACCCAAAUCAAACCAAAUAAAAGCUCUAACAAUA